AAACUGUGGUUUGGACUCCUAUCUAAAUAUUGCUUGUACCUCUCCCAAGCUUCAAAAACUUAUUCCCCAUUACGUUGUUUGAAUUCGGAAAUCUGAUCACGAAUUUU
Molecule: small nucleolar RNA, 107 nt
Organism: Lycium barbarum (goji berry)
Lineage: Eukaryota; Viridiplantae; Streptophyta; Magnoliopsida; Solanales; Solanaceae
Source: RefSeq, a predicted model, not a curated record